AGACUGAACGCUGGCGGCAUGCCUAACACAUGCAAGUCGAACGGCAGCACAGCCCCGCAAGGGUGGUGGCGAGUGGCGGACGGGUGAGGAAUACAUCGGAAUCUGCCCUGUUGUGGGGAUAACCCAUCGAAAGGUGGCUAAUACCGCAUGAGAAGGUGACGUGAAAGGC
Molecule: ribosomal RNA, 169 nt
Filed under: uncultured soil bacterium
Lineage: Bacteria
Description: partial 16S ribosomal RNA
Rfam family: Bacterial small subunit ribosomal RNA
Source: RNAcentral